UGCAAGUCGAACGGCAGCACAGAGGACCUUGCUCCUUGGGUGGCGAGUGGCAGAGGGGUGAGGAAUACAUCGGAAUCUACUUUGUCGUGGGAGAUAACCUGGGGAAACUUACUCUAAUACCGCAAACUACCUACAGGUGAAAGCGGGAGACCUUCGGGCCUUGCCCGAUUGAAUGCCCCGAUGUCGGAUUAGCUAGUUGGCGGGGUAAAGGCCCACCAGCGAGAAUAUCCGUAUCUGGUCUGAGAGGAUGAUCCCCCACACUGGAACUGACACACGGUCCACACUCCUACGGGAGGCAGCUGUGGGGAAUAUUGGACAAUGGGCGCAAGCCUGAUCCACCCAUACCGCGUGGGUGAAAAAGGCCUUCGGGUUGUAAAGCCCUUUUGUUGGAAAAGAAAUCCAGCUGGCUAAUACCCGGUUGGGAUGACGGUACCCAAAAAAUAAGCACCGGCUAACUUCGUGCCAGCAGCCGCGGUAAUACAAAGUGUGCACGCGUUACUCAGAAUUACUGCGCGUAAAGCGUGCGUACGGUGGUCGUUUAAGUCAUGUUGUGAUCCCCCUGCUCUCAACCUGAGAACUGCAGUGAAUACUGGGCGACUAGUCGUGUG
Molecule: ribosomal RNA, 608 nt
Filed under: uncultured bacterium
Lineage: Bacteria
Description: bacterial SSU rRNA
Rfam family: Bacterial small subunit ribosomal RNA
Source: RNAcentral